UACAGAGACUGCAAGCGUUAUUCGGAUUCACUGGGCGUAAAGGGUGCGCAGGCGGCCAUGUGCGUGAGGCGUGAAAGCCCGGGGCUUAACCCCGGAAUUGCACCUCAAACUACAUGGCUAGAGCAUUGGAGAGGGUAGCAGAAUUCAUGGUGUAGCAGUGAAAUGCGUAGAUAUCAUGAGGAAUACCAGAGGCGAAGGCGGCUACCUGGACAAUUGCUGACGCUCAGGCACGAAAGCGUGGGGAGCAAAAGGG
This 253-nucleotide ribosomal RNA is filed under the name uncultured bacterium. RNAcentral's name for it is "partial 16S ribosomal RNA". It matches the Rfam family "Bacterial small subunit ribosomal RNA", at positions 524 to 776 of the family's 1533-position model. The record is from RNAcentral.